GCAAAGAGUUAUAAAUUAAUGCUGAAUCUUCCAAAAAUUUGUCUUUUACUCAUAAGCACUCCAAAUGUAUCGCAUACAGUGAAUGGAUUAUAGUUAGAUUAUGACAAUGAAAUAAUCAAAUUGAUCAUAUCUCAGAAGUGACACGCUUGUCAAUAUUAAAGCUGAAUGUUAUGAGAGAAUAGCAUACAGUGCAUGCAUGCAAAUCUGUUGCAGUAGUUAAGAAGUAUCCAAUUUUACGCAGAGUUUAUACAUGUGAAACUGACCAGCCCCUCUGAUUAGGCAGUGUUGUAUAUAUGUCAUAUUUAUAUUGGUUUCCAUUUCCAACAAAUUAUUUUCCAUUCAUGGCUUGUGCGAAAAAAUUAGGCAGACUCAAUGCGCGUAAAAAGAUUAUUGAGUCAGUUUGGCAAAUCCAUAGUGAUGUAGAACAAAGAGAAAGAACUAAGAAGAAGGAGAAAUCUAUGACCAAUCCUUGAAAGAGAGAAUUAAUUC
This 489-nucleotide unclassified non-coding RNA is filed under the name Hevea brasiliensis (rubber tree). Lineage: Eukaryota; Viridiplantae; Streptophyta; Magnoliopsida; Malpighiales; Euphorbiaceae. The record is from RNAcentral.